CUAUAGACUACGAUCUAGCCCCUCUUCACGCAGACCAGGUAAACCGCGGGUUGUGCUCCAAACUGGCCAGGGUCCAAGAGCCCCCCAACUGAACUGUCAAAGUGCCGAACGAAUCAAACCCAUGUAUGCGCCUUGCCUUCCAAGGAACUCUUGCCUUCCAGGAAAUAUCCUUUCUUCCAGGAAAAAGCCUUGUCUUCCAAGAGCCCCAUGAAUCGAACCCGCGACCUCUGAACAGCCCGCCUUGAAGAACUCCGUCCUUUGUCAGUUGGGAUGUGCCCCGACAAUUAUGUCUAUUUUUGUUGGC
Molecule: long non-coding RNA, 304 nt
Filed under: Olea europaea subsp. europaea
Lineage: Eukaryota; Viridiplantae; Streptophyta; Magnoliopsida; Lamiales; Oleaceae
Source: RNAcentral